This 72-nucleotide transfer RNA is filed under the name Ovis aries (sheep). It matches the Rfam family "tRNA". From Rfam's summary of the family: Transfer RNA (tRNA) molecules are approximately 80 nucleotides in length. Their secondary structure includes four short double-helical elements and three loops (D, anti-codon, and T loops). The record is from Rfam by way of RNAcentral. Lineage: Eukaryota; Metazoa; Chordata; Mammalia; Artiodactyla; Bovidae.
UCCCUAGUGGCUCAGAGGGUAAAGCGCCUGUCUACAAUGCGGAAGACCCAGGUUCGAUCCCUGGGUCAGGAA